This 2902-nucleotide ribosomal RNA is filed under the name Klebsiella pneumoniae. RNAcentral describes it as "23S ribosomal RNA". It matches the Rfam family "Bacterial large subunit ribosomal RNA". Lineage: Bacteria; Pseudomonadati; Pseudomonadota; Gammaproteobacteria; Enterobacterales; Enterobacteriaceae. RNAcentral also lists the same sequence under 1 other name. The record is from RNAcentral.
GGUUAAGCGACUAAGCGUACACGGUGGAUGCCCUGGCAGUCAGAGGCGAUGAAGGACGUGCUAAUCUGCGAAAAGCGUCGGUAAGGUGAUAUGAACCGUUAUAACCGGCGAUGUCCGAAUGGGGAAACCCAGUGCAAUUCGUUGCACUAUCGUUAACUGAAUACAUAGGUUAACGAGGCGAACCGGGGGAACUGAAACAUCUAAGUACCCCGAGGAAAAGAAAUCAACCGAGAUUCCCCCAGUAGCGGCGAGCGAACGGGGAGCAGCCCAGAGUCUGAAUCAGCUUGUGUGUUAGUGGAACGGUCUGGAAAGUCCGACGGUACAGGGUGAUAGUCCCGUACACCAAAAUGCACAGGCUGUGAACUCGAAGAGUAGGGCGGGACACGUGGUAUCCUGUCUGAAUAUGGGGGGACCAUCCUCCAAGGCUAAAUACUCCUGACUGACCGAUAGUGAACCAGUACCGUGAGGGAAAGGCGAAAAGAACCCCGGCGAGGGGAGUGAAAAAGAACCUGAAACCGUGUACGUACAAGCAGUGGGAGCACCUUCGGGUGUGACUGCGUACCUUUUGUAUAAUGGGUCAGCGACUUAUAUUCUGUAGCAAGGUUAACCGUAUAGGGGAGCCGCAGGGAAACCGAGUCUUAACUGGGCGUUAAGUUGCAGGGUAUAGACCCGAAACCCGGUGAUCUAGCCAUGGGCAGGUUGAAGGUUGGGUAACACUAACUGGAGGACCGAACCGACUAAUGUUGAAAAAUUAGCGGAUGACUUGUGGCUGGGGGUGAAAGGCCAAUCAAACCGGGAGAUAGCUGGUUCUCCCCGAAAGCUAUUUAGGUAGCGCCUCGUGAAUUCAUCUUCGGGGGUAGAGCACUGUUUCGGCUAGGGGGUCAUCCCGACUUACCAACCCGAUGCAAACUACGAAUACCGAAGAAUGUUAUCACGGGAGACACACGGCGGGUGCUAACGUCCGUCGUGAAGAGGGAAACAACCCAGACCGCCAGCUAAGGUCCCAAAGUCAUGGUUAAGUGGGAAACGAUGUGGGAAGGCACAGACAGCCAGGAUGUUGGCUUAGAAGCAGCCAUCAUUUAAAGAAAGCGUAAUAGCUCACUGGUCGAGUCGGCCUGCGCGGAAGAUGUAACGGGGCUAAACCAUGCACCGAAGCUGCGGCAGCGACACUAUGUGUUGUUGGGUAGGGGAGCGUUCUGUAAGCCUGCGAAGGUGUGCUGUGAGGCAUGCUGGAGGUAUCAGAAGUGCGAAUGCUGACAUAAGUAACGAUAAAGCGGGUGAAAAGCCCGCUCGCCGGAAGACCAAGGGUUCCUGUCCAACGUUAAUCGGGGCAGGGUGAGUCGACCCCUAAGGCGAGGCCGAAAGGCGUAGUCGAUGGGAAACAGGUUAAUAUUCCUGUACUUGGUGUUACUGCGAAGGGGGGACGGAGAAGGCUAUGUUAGCCGGGCGACGGUUGUCCCGGUUUAAGCAUGUAGGCUGAUUGUCCAGGCAAAUCCGGAUAAUCAAGGCUGAGGUGUGAUGACGAGGCACUACGGUGCUGAAGUAACAAAUGCCCUGCUUCCAGGAAAAGCCUCUAAGCAUCAGGUAACAUUAAAUCGUACCCCAAACCGACACAGGUGGUCAGGUAGAGAAUACCAAGGCGCUUGAGAGAACUCGGGUGAAGGAACUAGGCAAAAUGGUGCCGUAACUUCGGGAGAAGGCACGCUGGUGUGUAGGUGAAGUCCCUGCGGAUGGAGCUGAGACCAGUCGAAGAUACCAGCUGGCUGCAACUGUUUAUUAAAAACACAGCACUGUGCAAACACGAAAGUGGACGUAUACGGUGUGACGCCUGCCCGGUGCCGGAAGGUUAAUUGAUGGGGUUAUCCGUAAGGAGAAGCUCUUGAUCGAAGCCCCGGUAAACGGCGGCCGUAACUAUAACGGUCCUAAGGUAGCGAAAUUCCUUGUCGGGUAAGUUCCGACCUGCACGAAUGGCGUAAUGAUGGCCAGGCUGUCUCCACCCGAGACUCAGUGAAAUUGAACUCGCUGUGAAGAUGCAGUGUACCCGCGGCAAGACGGAAAGACCCCGUGAACCUUUACUAUAGCUUGACACUGAACAUUGAGCCUUGAUGUGUAGGAUAGGUGGGAGGCUUUGAAGCGUGGACGCCAGUCUGCGUGGAGCCAACCUUGAAAUACCACCCUUUAAUGUUUGAUGUUCUAACGUUGGCCCCUGACCGGGGUUGCGGACAGUGUCUGGUGGGUAGUUUGACUGGGGCGGUCUCCUCCCAAAGCGUAACGGAGGAGCACGAAGGUUAGCUAAUCCUGGUCGGACAUCAGGAGGUUAGUGCAAUGGCAUAAGCUAGCUUGACUGCGAGCGUGACGGCGCGAGCAGGUGCGAAAGCAGGUCAUAGUGAUCCGGUGGUUCUGAAUGGAAGGGCCAUCGCUCAACGGAUAAAAGGUACUCCGGGGAUAACAGGCUGAUACCGCCCAAGAGUUCAUAUCGACGGCGGUGUUUGGCACCUCGAUGUCGGCUCAUCACAUCCUGGGGCUGAAGUAGGUCCCAAGGGUAUGGCUGUUCGCCAUUUAAAGUGGUACGCGAGCUGGGUUUAGAACGUCGUGAGACAGUUCGGUCCCUAUCUGCCGUGGGCGCUGGAGAAUUGAGGGGGGCUGCUCCUAGUACGAGAGGACCGGAGUGGACGCAUCACUGGUGUUCGGGUUGUCAUGCCAAUGGCACUGCCCGGUAGCUAAAUGCGGAAGAGAUAAGUGCUGAAAGCAUCUAAGCACGAAACUUGCCCCGAGAUGAGUUCUCCCUGAGACUUUAAGUCUCCUGAAGGAACGUUAAAGACGAUGACGUUGAUAGGCCGGGUGUGUAAGCGCAGCGAUGCGUUGAGCUAACCGGUACUAAUGAACCGUGAGGCUUAACCUU